UACGUAGGUGGCGAGCGUUGUCCGGAUUUACUGGGCGUAAAGAGCGCGCAGGCGGUCGUACAAGUCGCGUGUGAAAGCCCCCGGCUCAACUGGGGAGGGUCACGCGAUACUGUUCGACUCGAAGGCAGGAGAGGGAAGCGGAAUUCCCGGUGUAGUGGUGAAAUGCGUAGAUAUCGGGAGGAACACCAGUGGCGAAGGCGGCCCCCUGGCUCGUACCUGACGCUCAGCCACGAAAGCAUGGGGAGCGAACGGG
RNAcentral lists this ribosomal RNA (253 nucleotides) under uncultured bacterium. RNAcentral's name for it is "partial 16S ribosomal RNA". It matches the Rfam family "Bacterial small subunit ribosomal RNA", at positions 524 to 776 of the family's 1533-position model. The record is from RNAcentral.